RNAcentral lists this ribosomal RNA (518 nucleotides) under uncultured bacterium. RNAcentral describes it as "bacterial SSU rRNA". It matches the Rfam family "Bacterial small subunit ribosomal RNA", at positions 8 to 518 of the family's 1533-position model. The record is from RNAcentral.
AGGGUUCGAUCUGGCUCAGGAUGAACGCUAGCUACGGGCUUAACACAUGCAAGUCGAGGGGCAGCAUAUCGAAAGCUUGCUUUGAUGAUGGCGACCGGCGCACGGGUGAGUAACGCGUAUCCAACCUUCCCUAUACUAGAGGAUAGCCCGGCGAAAGUCGGAUUAAUACUCUAUGUUCUUCGUAGAAGACAUCUGAAAUGAAGCAAAGGUUUACCGGUAUAGGAUGGGGAUGCGUCUGAUUAGGUUGUUGGCGGGUAACGGCCCACCAAGCCCACGAUCAGUAGGGGUUCUGAGAGGAAGGUCCCCCACAUUGGAACUGAGACACGGUCCAAACUCCUACGGGAGGCAGCAGUGAGGAAUAUUGGUCAAUGGACGAGAGUCUGAACCAGCCAAGUAGCGUGCAGGAUGACGGCCCUAUGGGUUGUAAACUGCUUUUAUACAGGGAUAAAGUGACGUACGUGUACGUUUUUGUAGGUACUGUAUGAAUAAGGACCGGCUAAUUCCGUGCCAGCAGCUGC